CGAGAUGCUGCGCAGCCUCCCAGUGUCCGUGUCAGCCGCGGAUGCAGACUUCAUGACUGUGAUGUGGUGGCGGAGGAUGGUUCCACAGGCACUAGUGACUAGAGCCCAGACAUGGACAUGCACGCGUGGCCAUCCACAGAUGAAUGGAUUCAGAGGCAGUGGUCCCUGUACACGAUGACCUAUGACUCAGUCAGGAACCAGAACAGCAUAUGCCACCUGCCACCACAGUGAUGGAAUGAGAAACGCUCAUAUGAAGGGACAUAUGCCUGAAAGAGAAGGACGCAUACCUUUGGCUACCCCUUCUAACUGGCAUUUAAGCCAUGACACAUAUGAACCUUUCAACAGAAAAGUAACUCCAGGACUGGAUAACAGACUUGAGGGUACCAGAGUGGAGGGUGAGCAUGUGGGAAGGUCUGGGAUUUGUGGGGUGAGAGAUGCAAAGCCUUGCCCAUGGGGUGGGUAAGCCAUGAGGUCCUGUGCUAGAGCACAGGCAACUAACUGUGUCUGACCCCUUGUUUUGGAACGAGUUGGAGGAUAAUGGGAGAGAAAGGUUUUGUAUACACACGUUCCACUAAAUCUCGCUGCUGUUAAAGAGACAGAACACUGUAAAUCAUCGCUGAUGGUAAUCAAACAUGAUAAGAAAUUCUAACCCAAAAGGACCAGCUCGGCGUUCCCCAGGGAAGGGGUCUGGGUCCAGAGUCCAGCUUCUUGAGAAAAGAAGAAAAAAAAAAA
Molecule: non-coding RNA, 732 nt
Organism: Sus scrofa (pig)
Lineage: Eukaryota; Metazoa; Chordata; Mammalia; Artiodactyla; Suidae
Source: RefSeq, a predicted model, not a curated record